Molecule: unclassified non-coding RNA, 117 nt
Organism: Papio anubis (olive baboon)
Lineage: Eukaryota; Metazoa; Chordata; Mammalia; Primates; Cercopithecidae
Rfam family: Metazoan signal recognition particle RNA
About the family: The signal recognition particle (SRP) is a universally conserved ribonucleoprotein. It is involved in the co-translational targeting of proteins to membranes.
Source: Ensembl
GCUGGGUGUGGUGGCUCACACCUGUAAUCCCAGCACUUUGGGAGGCCGAGGUGGGUGGAUCACCUGAGGUCAGGAGUUCGAGACCAGCCUGACCAACAUGGAGAAACCCCAUCUCUA